This is a long non-coding RNA of Lates calcarifer (barramundi perch), 451 nucleotides long. RefSeq lists it as uncharacterized. The record is from RefSeq and is a predicted model, not a curated record. The transcript is spliced from 3 exons. NCBI's taxonomy places the organism in Eukaryota, Metazoa, Chordata, Actinopteri, Centropomidae.
UGGUGGUUACGAAACAUCUCCCUUGAUUGGUAAGUUCUGUUCUAAUCAGAGGCCUCCAGUCCUGGUAUCCCAUAGCAACCGUCUUUGGGUUAGAUUCCGCUCUGAUUCCAGCGUCACGCGUCGCGGAUUCACUGCCCACUGGGAUGGCUCACAGACUGGCUGUGGAGGGACGUUGACAACUGCAUCUGGGGGAUUUUCGUCCCCUAACUACCCCCUGCCCUACCACCCUAAUUCUGAGUGCUACUGGAACAUCAGGACCAGCCAGGGCAGCCAGCUCCUCCUCUCUUUCUCCGAUUUCCACCUGGAGUCCAGUGCCUCCUGCUCUUAUGAUUACCUGGCUGUGUAUGAUGGGAACAGCAGCAGUGCUCCAGAGCUAGCCAGACUGUGUGGCAGUCAGCCGCCCAGCACUUUCAGCGCUUCCAGCAAUCAACUCUACGUCAAACUACGCACU